This 866-nucleotide ribosomal RNA is filed under the name uncultured bacterium. RNAcentral describes it as "bacterial SSU rRNA". It matches the Rfam family "Bacterial small subunit ribosomal RNA", at positions 10 to 913 of the family's 1533-position model. The record is from RNAcentral.
AGUUUGAUCCUGGCUCAGGAUGAACGCUGGCGGCGUGCCUAACCCAUGCAAGUCGAACGGUCCCGCAAGGGAUAGUGGCGAACGGGUGAGUAACACGUAGAUAUCUGCCUCGCCGGAGGGAAUAACUCCUCGAAAGAGGAGCUAAUACCCAAAAGGGUCCGCAAGGAUCAGAGUCCGCAAGGGCCUGGCGAGAGGAGUCUGCGGCCCAUCAGCUAGUUGGUAGGGUAAUGGCCUACCAAGGCUAUGACGGGUAGGGGGUCUGAGAGGAUGUCCCCCCACACUGGAACUGAAACACGGUCCAGACACCUACGGGUGGCAGCAGGGAGGAAUAUUGGACAAUGGGGGAAACCCUGAUCCAGCAACGCCGCGUGAGGGAUGAAGGCCUUCGGGCUGUAAACCUCUUUUCAGGGAGAAGAGAAAGGACGGUAUCCCUGGAAUAAGCCACGGCUAACUACGUGCCAGCAGCCGCGGUAAUACGUAGGUGGCGAGCGUUAUCCGGAUUUACUGGGCGUAAAGCGCUUGUAGGCGGCUUCGUAAGUUGGGCGUGAAAGCUCCGGGCUUAACCCGGAGAGGUCGUUCAAUACUGCGAAGCUCGAGGGUGCCAGAGGAAGGUGGAAUUCCUGGUGUAGCGGUGAAAUGCGUAGAUAUCAGGAGGAACACCCGUGGCGAAGGCGGCCUUCUGGGGCAUUCCUGACGCUGAGAAGCGAAAGCUAGGGGAGCAAACAGGAUUAGAUACCCUGGUAGUCCUAGCCGUAAACGAUGGAUGCUAGGUGUUGGCGGAUAAAAAACCGUCAGUGCCGAAGCUAACGCGUUAAGCAUCCCGCCUGGGGAGUACGGCCGCAAGGCUAAAACUCAAACGGAAUUGA